GCCCAAAGAAAGCUCUGAUUUGGGAGGAUUUUGGAACAGGCAAAACAAACUACCGUAUUUUUCGCUCUAUAGGACGCACCGGACCAUAGGAGGGGGAGAACAGGGGAAAUUUUUUUUUCUUGUUCUCCCCCUCUAAAACAAGGUACGUUCAAGAGCAGGUCGGGGAACAGCGCAAAGGCUGCGUGCAGCCUUGCCGUUGCCCCCCAAGCUUGUGGGGCUGGCGGUGGGGGGAAGCGUUGCUUUUCCCCACCGCCAGCCUCAAAGAUCCCUGAAGCCUUUGGAGCGCAGCAGGACCUCGCGCUGCGCUCCAAAGGCUUCGGGUUCCUUUCACUGACCCAAAGCCUUUGGAGUGCAGCGCGAGUUCCCGCUGCACUCCAAAGGCUUGAGGCUUCGGGGACAGCCUUUGUAGCCUCCGUAGGGCAGCGGGGUGAAGGCACCCCUCUGCCCUGCGGAGGGUUUGCGCAGCCAUCCCCAAGCUAGAACAGUGAGACGGAGAGCUGCGCAGCGCUCCGUCUCCCUGUUCUGGCUUUGGGCUUAGCCGCGCAGCCUGCAUUCGCUCUAUAGGAGGCACACACAUUUCCCCUUAAUUUUUGGAGGGGAAAAAGUGCGUCCUAUAGAGUGAAAAAUAUGGUAAACUGUUUCCUUCAACAGUAUCCUUCUAGUCACCUGUCCAGAAAUGGUAUAAUGCAAUCGCAGUUUGAUCCUCUGCCCUCAACAGUUGCCCUUAGAGGGAGAUAAGAGGCAGAAGGCAGAUCUUCCAUUACAUUGCAGGAUUUCGUUUCACAUAUUUCGAAGCCGAGAUUGUAAAUGGAUUCCAGAACUGGGCCUUUGUGAUCUGUAACAGAAAUUGAGCCCUGAGUAUAGCUCAGCUGUCCUAAUUAAAGCAAGGCACGUCCAACAUACUACUUUUUCAUAGCUGUGAACGUGUUGCAUAGUCACACACAUUAUGGAGAUUUAUUUAUUU
This is a long non-coding RNA of Podarcis raffonei (Aeolian wall lizard), 964 nucleotides long. RefSeq lists it as uncharacterized. The transcript has 2 exons. Lineage: Eukaryota; Metazoa; Chordata; Lepidosauria; Squamata; Lacertidae. The record is from RefSeq and is a predicted model, not a curated record.